Molecule: microRNA precursor, 99 nt
Organism: Pelusios castaneus (West African mud turtle)
Lineage: Eukaryota; Metazoa; Chordata; Testudines; Pelomedusidae
Source: Ensembl
ACAGAGUGCGAUGUGUGCAUUGCAUUGCGACGGGUUACAUCACUGGUCGUAACAUGAUGUAACCCAACGCAGCAUGAUGUAAGCGUCGUGAUACAUUGG